Chenopodium quinoa (quinoa) is the source of this 430-nucleotide long non-coding RNA. RefSeq lists it as uncharacterized. The transcript has 2 exons. Lineage: Eukaryota; Viridiplantae; Streptophyta; Magnoliopsida; Caryophyllales; Amaranthaceae. The record is from RefSeq and is a predicted model, not a curated record.
CUCCUUCUCCUCAAACUGAUUUUUCUCUUUAAUUUUUCGAUCUUCUUCUUCUCCAUCUAAUUCUCUUUAAUUUUUCGAUCUUCUUCUCCCUCACAAUCACGAAGAACACAUGCAACAUCUCGAUUUUCUGGGUUUUUGAAGACCACAUGCAACACCGAUUUGUAUGUUAUUUAGAUCUGAAAUCGAAGAAGCAAUAUACAAGCAAGAAUGAAUGAGUUUUUUUUUUUUUUUUUUUUUUUGAAUUUAUAUUAUAAUUUUUUUUAAAAUUUAUAUUGUAAUUUUUUUUAUAUGCUGUAAUCAAAGUUUUUUUUUGUUGUAAUUUUUUUUUAAUCAUAUAUUGCAAAUUUUCGAUUCUUGUUGAUAUGUUGCAAUUUUCGAUUCUUGUUGAUAUAUUCCAAAUUUUCGAUUCUAGUUGAUAUUUCGCAAAUUG